Limulus polyphemus (Atlantic horseshoe crab) is the source of this 130-nucleotide long non-coding RNA. RefSeq lists it as uncharacterized. NCBI's taxonomy places the organism in Eukaryota, Metazoa, Arthropoda, Merostomata, Xiphosura, Limulidae. The record is from RefSeq and is a predicted model, not a curated record. The transcript has 3 exons.
AUGAUAAUUGAGAUGGAAAAGUUGUCAUACGAGGACAGAAACCUAAAGAUGAGAAAUACCCUGUUGGACCAUGGCUACUUGGCUUGUUUAUAUUUGUUGUUUGUGGAUCUGCUUUAUUCCAGAUUAUCCA